RNAcentral lists this ribosomal RNA (302 nucleotides) under uncultured bacterium. Its description in RNAcentral is "bacterial SSU rRNA". It matches the Rfam family "Bacterial small subunit ribosomal RNA", at positions 32 to 313 of the family's 1533-position model. The record is from RNAcentral.
AAUCAACGCUGGCGGCGUGCCUCAGACAUGCAAGUCGAACGCGAAAGUUUCCUUCGGGAGACAAGUAGAGUGGCGCACGGGUGAGUAACACGUAGGUAAUCUACCUUUGGGAUGGGGAAUAACAACCGGGAAACGGUUGCUAAUACCGCAUAAUGCAGCGGCACCUAAUGGUGACAGUUGUUAAAGCGGGGGAUCGAAAGACCUCGCGUCUAAAGAGGAGCCUGCGGCGGAUUAGCAGUUGGUAAGUAAUGGCUUACCAAGGCUACGAUCCGUAACCGGCCUGAGAGGGCGGUCGGUCACAC